Molecule: long non-coding RNA, 1660 nt
Organism: Triticum aestivum (bread wheat)
Lineage: Eukaryota; Viridiplantae; Streptophyta; Magnoliopsida; Poales; Poaceae
Exons: 3
Source: RefSeq, a predicted model, not a curated record
UAGGCUGCUAUACUUGUUCGUUUUACCACUCUCUUUGUUUGGAAGGCACUAGUUUUUUGUUCAAUAUUAAUCUUUCAUGAAAUAAAAUGACAAUUUAACAAAAGUCUGUUUGAGACUUGCUCACGUACUCACAUUAUGUUCUUGACUUUCAGUAAUAGUCACAAUCCUUCGCAUCAUACUUCAUUUUUUGUUCAAACUUUUUUUUUUGACCAUGGUUUUUGGUUUAAACUUGCAGUUUCGUUUCCCUAGUUAUGUGCAUUCGGUACAAGAAUCUGAUGAACCUAUCAGGAAGCUACCGGAGCGUCUGUUCAAUAACUUAAAGAGUUUGUAUGUUACAGGAUUUAAAGCAUGCAUCGGUCAAGUUGAGUUCCUUUCACACAUGGUGGAAAAUUCCCCUGCACUGGAGAUUUUAAGUAUAGAUCAUUCAGACAAAUAUCCCCUAGAAGGCCAUGAAAGAGACACGAAAACGGUUGUUGACGUAGUCCAUAGAACUGCUAGAAGGUAUCUCGAAGGGAAGAUUUCGUCCAAGUGCACCCUAAUAUUACUUUAAGGGAUUUGUUGGUAUAGGGAUGUACAUUGUAUCUCUAUCUAGGGAUUGAAAAUCCGAUGCGGUGGCAUCUUUAAACAUGUCUGCAUUGGUCACUACUAUGUGCAUUGUGAUUUGGUUUUGCACGGUCCAUUAUAAUAUUGAUGAAAUGAACAUGCUUCCCUUUGCAUAAAUGCGCUGUUUGCCCUCCACUACAGUACUCGUUGCGUACAACUCUAUUAACCUCGGAGUUCCACGUUUUCACCCCAUUUUAGAUGAUGUAUAUGCUUCCUCCCUGCACGACAUGUAUGGACACAUGGGGCCUUCUCUUUUUUAGCAGGCACGCAGCCCUAGUUGUUUUAGUUUUUUUUUCACCUCGCCGUCUCCCCCAUGCUAUCAGGUGUGGCGUUGGGUGUUAUCCGAUCAUCCAAAGCAUUCCCGCCUAACCAGUAACUGCUUGCUUCUGUAUAAUUCUUCUAUUUUUAUUCCUCUUGGUUUACCGGCUGUUGUUCCUCUGGUUACCGGUUGUGCUCUCAUCGGGCGCCAGCAGCUGCCUCCGCUGGUCGAGCUCGCUGCUGACCUACUCAGGCAAGCACGCAGCUGCAGAGCUGAGCUGCUGCUCCUGGACUUAAGUUAACUUUUUCAGGAAGGGGCUAUGGUAUCCUGAGGACCAGAGACUGUGGGACUACAUCUUCAAGCAUGGCCUUGGCUGCUGGACUGCUGUCCCUGCAAGGGCUUAUCUGAUGAUCAACCGGAGAUGUUGCUGGUCAAUUCAUAGCGACGACCUGAUGCUCUGCUGCACUGAUCCAACCGGAGAUGAUGCUGAUGAUCUGCUGCUCAACAAGGUGUUGCUGCUUCUCCCAGGACGUGCUGAUGAUCUGCUGCUCAACAUGGUGAUAGAUCUGGUAGCGCUUGGGGCAGGUGAUGGAUGGGCGACGAGGAGGAGCAGGGGCGACGAGGAGGAGCCUGGUGGAGGGGUGGAGCAGGGGCGACAAGGAGGGGCCUAGCGGAGGGGUUGAUGGAGGAAGACGAUGAUUUCAGAUUAGGGGUAGUUCUGUACUUUCCUAGCUUUUCACCUGGUUGGAGAAUUCCCCCGGCGACAACUAUUACGGUACAGAGGGAGUAGGUUGUAAG